CUCGCAAAUUGCACCGAAUUACUCCCAUUCGCUUACCUGCUAUCAUCGCUGCGGUCCGGGGGCUCCAUACCAAGGCGAGGAGUCCAGACUCGCCCGUGUGUGCGCCGACGCCAUCUUACCAGCAAUCAUCGAAGAACUGACACAGAUCAUUGCUACGGCAACCCGUGCAGUACAUCAGACAGCCGCUGUGACUGCUCUUGAACUGCCGUAAUAGGCUCUAAUUACCGCCCGAGUUGACCCGUUUAUUACUGUGGGCAUGCUGACAGAUCGCUUGUCAUGCAACUUGAUCUGGCAGGCACAGCAUCUUGUAACUAAAAUACGGUCAUUUAGAACACACGUUAUUAUUGAUUACAAUAUUUACAGAGAAAAUUAC
Anguilla anguilla (European eel) is the source of this 373-nucleotide long non-coding RNA. RefSeq lists it as uncharacterized. The transcript has 2 exons. NCBI's taxonomy places the organism in Eukaryota, Metazoa, Chordata, Actinopteri, Anguilliformes, Anguillidae. The record is from RefSeq and is a predicted model, not a curated record.